GGACGAACGCUGGCGGCGUGCCUAAUACAUGCAAGUCGCGCGAACGGAUGGAGAGCUUGCUCUCUUGAAGUUAGCGGCGGACGGGUGAGUAACACGUGGGCAACCUGCCUGACAGAUCGGGAUAACGCUUGGAAACGGGUGCUAAUACCGGAUAGGCAAACGAGAGGCAUCUCUUGUUUGGGAAAGGCGCUAUGGCGUCACUGUCAGAUGGGCCCGCGGCGCAUUAGCUGGUUGGUGAGGUAACGGCUCACCAAGGCGACGAUGCGUAGCCGACCUGAGAGGGUGACCGGCCACACUGGGACUGAGACACGGCCCAGACUCCUACGGGAGGCAGCAGUAGGGAAUCUUCCACAAUGGGCGCAAGCCUGAUGGAGCAACGCCGCGUGAGUGAUGAAGGCCUUCGGGUUGUAAAACUCUGUCUUUUGGGACGAACGAACAAGAGAGGGAAUGCUCUUGUUGUGACGGUACCAGAGGAGGAAGCCACGGCUAACUAC
The sequence is a ribosomal RNA, 494 nucleotides long. It matches the Rfam family "Bacterial small subunit ribosomal RNA", at positions 27 to 504 of the family's 1533-position model.